Molecule: transfer RNA, 73 nt
Filed under: Cricetulus griseus (Chinese hamster)
Lineage: Eukaryota; Metazoa; Chordata; Mammalia; Rodentia; Cricetidae
Rfam family: tRNA
About the family: Transfer RNA (tRNA) molecules are approximately 80 nucleotides in length. Their secondary structure includes four short double-helical elements and three loops (D, anti-codon, and T loops).
Source: Rfam by way of RNAcentral
GGGGAUAUAGUUCAGUGGUUAAGAGCACUGGAUGCUUUUCCAGAGGACCUAGGUUCAAUUCCCAGCAACCCCC